RNAcentral lists this transfer RNA (62 nucleotides) under Gammaproteobacteria bacterium. RNAcentral's name for it is "tRNA-OTHER". The record is from RNAcentral. Lineage: Bacteria; Pseudomonadati; Pseudomonadota; Gammaproteobacteria.
GUUCGCUGGAAAGCGGAUAGGAAGUCCGCUGGUCCCAGGUUCGAGUCCUGGUGGGCCCACCA